RNAcentral lists this unclassified non-coding RNA (378 nucleotides) under uncultured Parachlamydiaceae bacterium. Its description in RNAcentral is "contains 16S-23S intergenic spacer region". The record is from RNAcentral. Lineage: Bacteria; Pseudomonadati; Chlamydiota; Chlamydiia; Parachlamydiales; Parachlamydiaceae.
UCCUGGUUAACCCAGGCAGUCUUGUUAGAGUUCCCACCAUUACGUGUUGGCAACUAACAAUAAGGGUUGCGCUCGUUGCGGGACUUAACCCAACACCUCACGGCACGAGCUGACGACAGCCAUGCAGCACCUGUUCAGAGGCCCCGAAGGGAGGCGCUAUCUCUAGCGCUGUCCUCUGUAUGUCAAGUCUGGGUAAGGUUCUUCGCGUUGCAUCGAAUUAAACCACAUGCUCCACUGCUUGUGCGGGUCCCCGUCAAUUCUUUUGAGUUUCACCCUUGCGAGCGUACUCCCCAGGCGGUAUACUUAUCGCGUUAGCUUCGGCACAACCGGGGUUGAGUCCAGUUACACCAAGUAUACAUCGUUUACAGCAAGGACUAC